This is a long non-coding RNA of Corapipo altera (White-ruffed manakin), 236 nucleotides long. RefSeq lists it as uncharacterized. Lineage: Eukaryota; Metazoa; Chordata; Aves; Passeriformes; Pipridae. The transcript has 3 exons. The record is from RefSeq and is a predicted model, not a curated record.
AACAUUAUAAAGAAACCUUAGAGAGCUGAGAAAACAACACUGGAGCAGAGGGAGAAGCAACAUGGGAGAGCUUUGUGUCCGCUCUGUGCUGGUGACUGGGGCCAACAGGGGCCUCGGCCUGGGGCUCGUCCAGCAUCUGCUGGGGUUGCCAAAUCCUCCACAGUGGGUGUUUGCAACCUGUUGGGACCCCAAGGGACAGCGAGCAAAGGAGUUACAGAAUUUGGCCUCCAAACAUC